GACGAACGCUGGCGGCGUGCUUAACACAUGCAAGUCGAACGAAGUGGCGAACGGGUGAGUAACGCGUAAUCAACCUGCCCUUCAGAGGGGGACAACAGUUUGAAACGACUGCUAAUACCGCAUAAUGAGGGAGGGGAUUGCGUCUGAUUAGCUGGUUGGAGGGGGAACGGCCCACCAAGGCGAUGAUCAGUAGCCGGUCUGAGAGGAUGAACGGCCACAGUGGGACUGAGACAAGGCCCAGAAUCCUACGGGAGGCAGCAGGGGGGAAUUUUCCGCAAUGGAAGAAAGUCUGACGGAGCAACGCCGCGUGAGUGAUGACGGCCUUCGGGUUGUAAAGCUCUGUUAAUCGGGACGCGGUACCGGAAUAGAAAGCCACGGCUAACUACGUGCCAGCCGCCGCGGUAAUAC
Molecule: ribosomal RNA, 408 nt
Filed under: uncultured bacterium
Lineage: Bacteria
Description: partial 16S ribosomal RNA
Rfam family: Bacterial small subunit ribosomal RNA
Source: RNAcentral